AAAGUCGUAACAAGGUCUCCGUAGGUGAACCUGCGNAGGGAUCAUUAUCGAAUGAUCAUCCUUGAUCUUCUCACCCUCAAACCAUCGUGGACACAAAGAUGUGCUUCGGCGCCUCCGAGCGCCGCCUUUAUGCCUCAUCAAUGUCUUGUCUGAAUCAAAAACAAAAUGUCAAAACUUUCAACAAAGGAUCUCUUGGCUCUCGCAUCGAUGAAGAACGUAGCAAAGCGCGAAAUGUAGUGUGAAUUGCAGAACAUUGUGAAUCAUCGAAUCUUUGAACGCACAUUGCGCCUCCCUUCACCGGGAGGCAUGCCUGUCUGAGCGUCAUUUAAAACCAAUAAAUCCAUCUGGAUUUGCCUUGGGCCCUGCACCGACGGUGCAUCGCCUCGAAGGCAUAGGUCUUUAUCUGCGGACGAGUUCCUCUAGGGCUUACCGUAGGGUCGACCAUCCUGACCGGUCGCUUCGGCGACUGACCAUUUGACCUCAGAUCAGGUAGGAAGACCGCCUGAACUUAA
Molecule: ribosomal RNA, 512 nt
Filed under: uncultured fungus
Lineage: Eukaryota; Fungi
Description: eukaryotic LSU rRNA
Rfam family: 5.8S ribosomal RNA (bases 173-324)
Source: RNAcentral